GCCGCUUUGGUUCUGAAGCUGAAUAUACAGCGCUCAGCACGUGAGAUAACGGGAGUUUGAUUCUCGGGGAAAGCAAUUCUUUUUAGGUUUGUUAACUCCUUUCAUAUAUUACUAAACAUUUUCUCUUCUUUUUUCUUUUUUUUAAUCUUCCCCCAUUUUUCCACUAACAUUUCAAUCUUAACUUUUCUUUUUUAGUUUAUUUUUUUCACUUUUUGAAUUUCCUAUAUCUUAUUUAUUACAACAAAAAACUUAAGUUUUUAAAAACUCCAGAGUGUAAAUAUUUGUAGUUGUCAACAUGCAAUGAUAUGAUACAAUUAUUCAAUAUCUUCAAAAUAUGAAAGUUCGUCGAGAAUCGUACUACUAGAAGCUUUUUUUUUUAAAAAAAAUAUUAAUAUUAAUCGUAGUUCGCUCGGUAACUUAUGACUAGAAGUCUUAUUUCUAAUAAUAAGUU
Molecule: long non-coding RNA, 451 nt
Filed under: Solanum tuberosum (potato)
Lineage: Eukaryota; Viridiplantae; Streptophyta; Magnoliopsida; Solanales; Solanaceae
Description: long non-coding RNA (STUB_LNC003028)
Source: RNAcentral